UACGUAGGGGGCAAGCGUUGUCCGGAAUCAUUGGGCGUAAAGCGCGUGUAGGCGGCCCGAUAAGUCCGCUGUGAAAGUCCAGGGCUCAACCCUGGAAUGCCGGUGGAUACUGUCGGGCUCGAGUCCGGAAGAGGCGAGUGGAAUUCCUGGUGUAGCGGUGAAAUGCGCAGAUAUCAGGAGGAACACCGAUGGCGAAGGCAGCUCGCUGGGACGGUACUGACGCUGAGACGCGAAAGCGUGGGGAGCAAACAGG
RNAcentral lists this ribosomal RNA (253 nucleotides) under uncultured bacterium. RNAcentral's name for it is "partial 16S ribosomal RNA". It matches the Rfam family "Bacterial small subunit ribosomal RNA", at positions 524 to 776 of the family's 1533-position model. The record is from RNAcentral.